Clupea harengus (Atlantic herring) is the source of this 1080-nucleotide long non-coding RNA. RefSeq lists it as uncharacterized. NCBI's taxonomy places the organism in Eukaryota, Metazoa, Chordata, Actinopteri, Clupeiformes, Clupeidae. The record is from RefSeq and is a predicted model, not a curated record. The transcript is spliced from 2 exons.
UUUCAGAUGACCCACUGAGAGAGUGCCGACGGCCCUGAAGAUGCACAGAGGUUUACAUCUGAACUAAUGCACAGAGGUUUACAUCUGAACUAAUGCACAGAGGUUUACACCUGAACUAAUGCACAGAGGUUUACAUCCGAACUAAUGCACAGAGGUUUACAUCCGAACUAAUGCACAGAGGUUUACAUCCGAACUAAUGCCAUCAAACAACCAUCUCACGUUACUACAACACAACACGGUGGACUCCACCUGCUUACAUGCAGAAGGCCAGAAGUGCACACAAACCUGCCUUUGGGGACUGAACUCCUCCUGGCGAUCUUUGCAUUGGCCACACACGUUUGUGGAUCCAUUACACUUAAUCUACUAUGUAGAGUUUCAGCCCUGUCCUCCGUGUCUGCCCCCAACUCUGAGGAGUGUUUCCUGUAUUGAGUAUGCACUGAAAUGGCCUACUCAGUGUUGAGGUAAUCAGCUGUUCAUCCCCACACAACUCCAGGAGCCCAGAGAAGGAACGGGACGUCUGGAGAAGGUAAGUGACCAACCUACCACAGGUCUCAUGAAGUAACAGACCACCAGGCCAUCAGGAAAUCAGAAAUCGGACUAAAUAAUUUACAUAUGUAAAGAUAUAUAGUUGAAUUGACAUAUAAAGCUAUAUAGUUGAAUUGACAUAUAUAAAGCUAUAUCGUUGAUUUUUUUUUAUUUAAAUAAAAAUUCCUAUGCUCAAAACCACAGAGCAGUAUUUAGAAAAUGUACAUGAUUCCUCAUGAUAAGGAUUUAGGCACAACAUAUUCAAGGGAUAUUUGACCCUAUGAAAACAAAAACAAAACUGUGUGAACCUAAAUUGAGGACAGAAAAACGAAAUCUUCUUUCGCAGCAUUUUAUUGCUUUCAUUAGUUUAGUCUGUUUACUGGCUAUAUGUAUCUCUAUACUCUUUUCUGCACUCUUUUUCAAAGUAAUUCUAUGACACUGUAACUGAUAUGAAAUGAUGAACACAUUCAUGUUAAUUCACUGGCACUGAUUGGCUGCUGUUUCUAAAUGACGUGGAUCUGUGUUGUUUUCUCAAUAAAGUGACACAAAAUGGAA